CCCUUAGAUGUUCUGGGCCGCACGCGCGCUACACUGAUGAACGCAACGAGACGACCUGUACCGAAAGGCAUGGGUAAACUUGUGAAAGUUCAUCGUGAUGGGGAUAGAUUAUUGCAAUUAUUAAUCUUCAACGAGGAAUUCCUAGUAAGCGCGAGUCAUCGGCUCGCGUUGAUUACGUCCCUGCCCUUUGUACACACCGCCCGUCGCUCCUACCGAUUGAAUGGUCCGGUGAAAUCUUCGGAUUGCUGGAUAGGAGGGCAACCACCUAUCUGCGAGAAGUUGCUUGAACCUUAUCAUUUAGAGGAAGGAGAAGUCGUAACA
This 321-nucleotide ribosomal RNA is filed under the name uncultured eukaryote. Its description in RNAcentral is "partial 18S ribosomal RNA". It matches the Rfam family "Eukaryotic small subunit ribosomal RNA", at positions 1470 to 1796 of the family's 1831-position model. The record is from RNAcentral.